CUAAACAGGAUUCCCUUAGUAACGGCGAGUGAAAAGGGAUGAGCCCAGCGCUGAAUCUCUCGGUCUAAGGCCGCUGAGAACUGUAGCGUAUAGGUUUGACUGUCUGUUUGCUAUGUAUUCUCCAAGUUCCUUUGAUAGGGGCUAGUUCAGUCCCGAGAGGGUGCUAGACCUGUGCGAGAAUUGUAGUGAGCAGUUGGUUGUUCCUUGGAGUCGUGUUGCUUGAAAGUGCAGCAUAAAGUAGGUGAUAGACUUCAUCUAAGGCUAAAUAUAACCAUGAAUUCGAUAGCUAACAAGUACCGCGAGGGAAAGUUGCAAAGAACUUUGAAGAGAGAGUUCAAGAGAACGUGAAAUCGCUGGAGUAUGCGGAGAGAGUUGACGUAACCCGGUAGCUAAGUUGUUCUUCGGAGCGAUGGUGCUGCUUAUGGUUGCAUUGGUGGCGUUGGUUAGCAACGACAGCUGCGUAGUUUAGCCCACUUCGGUGGUGUCUAGCUUGUGGUCUUGUUGUUGUCGGCUAGCGUGUAAGCCCUGUUCACAGGGUGCCAAUGUCCUAGUCGACCACCUCUCUGACCCGUCUUGAAACACGGACCGAGGAGUGUAUCUAGUACGCGAGUCAAAGGGUGGAAAACCCCAUGGCGCAAUGAAAGUAAAUCCGGUUCAUCCGGUGACAUAGGACCCGUUCUUCUGAGCGGAGCACUAUGGCCCUGUCUUGACUGCUUGCAGUUGGGCAGAGGUAGAGCGUACUGGAUGCGACCCGAAAGAUGGUGAACUAUACCUGAGCAGGAUGAAGCCAGAGGAAACUCUGGUGGAAGUCCGUAUCGCUUCUGACGUGCAAAUCGAUCGAUAGACUUGGGUAUAGGGGCGAAAGACCAAUCGAACCAUCU
RNAcentral lists this ribosomal RNA (881 nucleotides) under Rhabditis sp. MGA-2021. Its description in RNAcentral is "partial large subunit ribosomal RNA". It matches the Rfam family "Eukaryotic large subunit ribosomal RNA", at positions 65 to 945 of the family's 3401-position model. Lineage: Eukaryota; Metazoa; Nematoda; Chromadorea; Rhabditida; Rhabditidae. The record is from RNAcentral.